CAGUUGUUCCGCCAGGAGCAUAGCUGGGUAGCCAAGUGCGGGAGGGAUAAGCGCUGAAAGCAUCUAAGCGCGAAGCCCGCCUCAAGAUGAGAUUUCCCAAUUCGUAAGACCCCUGGAAGAACACCAGGUUGAUAGGCUCGGGGUGGAAGCGCGGCAACGCGUGCAGCUGACGAGUACUAAUCGGUCGAGGGCUUAUCCUAU
This 201-nucleotide ribosomal RNA is filed under the name Cohnella lubricantis. RNAcentral describes it as "partial 23S ribosomal RNA". It matches the Rfam family "Bacterial large subunit ribosomal RNA", at positions 2718 to 2925 of the family's 2925-position model. Lineage: Bacteria; Bacillati; Bacillota; Bacilli; Caryophanales; Paenibacillaceae. The record is from RNAcentral.